CCCCUAUAUAAAAUAAGAAGCUUAAAAAAACAGAAAUGACAAGAUGAAAAAGCAGAGAGAACAGUUAGGUUUGUAUUAAACUAGGUCUAAGAUAACGAGAGCUAUCAUAUUGUGAACCUGCCCCCAUGACUGGAGGUUGCAGCAAACUGCGCCCUCCUGAUUAUCCUAGUAAGCAAGCUGAAGGGACAUUCUUGGGGGCAGGAUACCUCUCUGCUCCGCUUCACUGCCUGCCCUUGUCUCCGUCUCCAUGGAAACAAGAUGUUCCUGAUCAACAGCAGAGUCUUAACUUGCCUCCCUCUUUAUGGUGCCGCUGAUCAAACUCCCCAGUAUGCUGCUGCUGCUAAGUCACUUCAGUCGUGUCCGACUCUGUGCGACCCCAUAGAGGGCAGCCCACCAGGCUCCCCCGUCACUGGGAUUCUCCAGGCAAGAACACUGGAGUGGGUUGCCAUUUCCUUCUCCAAUGCAUGAAAGUGGAAAGUGAAAGUCAAGUCGCUCAGUCGUGCCCGACUCUUAGCGACCCCAUGGACCGCAGCCCACCAGGCUCCUCCGUCCAUGGGAUUUUCCAGGCAAGAGUACUGGAGUGGGGUGCCAUUGCCUUCUCCCCCCAGUAUAGCUAUUCCCUUAUGAUCUCACAGGACUUCUGCCAUCAUUGGCAUUAUUCAGUGCGGGCUGAAAGGAGUUAUUUUGUCUUCCUGCAUGGAGAGCAGGAGGGCCCCCUGACUUCUGCUUGCCAAAUUAUACGUGUCUGUCCUUUAAUUAGACGUGUCUUUCCCACCCGCUGUGCUGGACGCGGCAGGUGGCGCUGGAACAGGGACUUGAAGUCGGGAAGGAUUCCUCCCGAGGGAAACACUGAACGUGAAGACAGCGAGCGUCUGCAGAUUCAGCCUCAGAUCAAGGAGAUAGUCCCCUGAGACUCAUCGUUAUUGACCACGAUGGCCCUGCAGUCAAGACAAAAAGGGGGUGAUGUUGCAGCCUGGCGGAGCAGAGACCAGAACCUGCCCCAUGACUGGAGGGUGCAGCAUAUCGCACCCUGUGAUUGUCCUAGUGAGCGAGCCGAAGGGACAUACUCUCUGCUCCGCUUCACUGCCUGCCCCUGCCUCCGUCUCCAUGGAAACAAACCAAGAUGUUCCUGAUCAACAGCAGGGCCUUAACUUGCCUCCCCCUUUAUGGUGCACUGAUCAAACUCCCCAGUAUAGCUGUUUCCAAGUGCUCUCACGGGACUUCUGCCAAUAAAAGUGCGGGCUGAAAGGAGUCAUUUUGUCUUCCUGCCAUGGAGAGCAGCAGGGCCCCUGACUCCCCGCUUGCCAAAUUAUACGUGUCUGUCUUUUCAUUACUCGAGUCUUUCUCACCCGUUGUGCUGGACACAGCAAUUAUCGAGCAUUCCCUC
Long non-coding RNA from Bos taurus (domestic cattle), 1387 nucleotides. NCBI's taxonomy places the organism in Eukaryota, Metazoa, Chordata, Mammalia, Artiodactyla, Bovidae. The record is from Ensembl.